CUGCCCCUUUAAAGGGUUGUUAAUUGGCUAAUUAGUUAAUCUGGUUCAUUGGUUACUCAAACGAGUAUAAAAGGACACUACUGGGAUGCAGACUUGUUUACUAGGUGUAAAGGGAUAUGUUCUCAGAACAAACUGGCUGCCAAGAAAAUAAGUUGAGAACUAGAGCUCAGAGUCAAGAACAGGGUGCUUGAAAAGCAUAGCAGAUCAGGCAGCAUCUGAGGAGCAGGAGAAUCGAUGUUUUGGGAAAGAGCCCUUCAUCACUGCCAAAAUGAAAAUGCAUUUUUCACCAUCUGACUUGCCAUCCUCACUGCCAGCUGCUUAAUGCCAAUAAGUGGCAUUUGAGGUUGAUCAGAGAUGCAUCAUCAAGUAUCCUUCAACAACAUAACCAAACAAAAACCUAUGGUCUCUGCCAACAGCCCACUCAGGACAGAUUGAUGUUGGACUGAACAGUAUAUUGCUCCUGAAGUUCUGAGCUUAACUCUGUCAGCAUAAGGUGGAUCGCUUCACCUACACUGUUGGUUCUUUUGGCUGGUUUUAACCACUCUCGGGACCGUGCUAACAAUUAAUGUCAAGGUGUAACUUUAGCAGAGGUACUGACAUUCAAUUGGCUACAGCACAAUUGUAGAAACAUUUGCCUCUGCUAUCUGUACUGGAUUGGAUGUGAUGUGGUGCCUAUGGAUUCAGCCUGAUGUUCAAAUACUCAAUAUGCCUGUUUAAACUGAACAAAAAUUCCCAAUGUGUGAACAUGUUCCUCCUGUCUGCAAAGAGGUUCAUGUGUAUUAAAAUGUAACUAUGUCAUAUUAAGAAAAAUUGCAUUUGAAAGAUUACACUUGGAGUUUCUUUUAGUAAAUUCUGUUUAAUUUCAAAAUCAUAUCUAAUGCUCUCAGUACAUUUCCUUAUGGUCUUAUGGUUGUGUGGAAAUUGGGUCCAGUUGGGAAAGUAGGGUAUUGUCCAAUUGGGGAAUGUUAGGCUAUGAAAGUGUCUAUAGUCUGGGGAAGAUCUAGUUGGGUGUGUGUGAGAUAAGUGUGGGGUCUGUUGGGUAGUUACUCAGGAGUUAGAUAAAACAUUUUUUACUUAAUGGAAUGCUCCCAAUUCUCUAAUUUAAACAGGCAGUUUCAGAGGUUUCCAGCAAUAGAAGAACAGUCCCAAGGAAUCUUCAAUUUCCCCAGCAGACUCCUUUUAGAGUCUGCUGUGACAGGAACUCCCCCAUGUCCCUGAUUACAAUUCUCAUCUAUUCUGGAAUAAUAGCUGCCUGGCCAGCAGAAAAUCUAGGCAAAGAUUUUUCUUUAUUGAAAUAAAUAGAAAAUAUCCAACAAACAGUCAUCGAUUUUGGACCAGAGAAAGAAUAGAUCAAAACCUUGCUUCAAUAGUGAAAAAAAUAAGAAUAGUGAGAGGUGCAAAGAGAUUUAUGGAUAACGUACACAAUUUAUGAAAAUAUAGCAGUCAAGCACAAAAAAAAAGUCUCUCAGAAUGUUAACCUUUAAAACUAGACUCCUAGAAUGUAAAAGGAACAAAUCUUUGUUAUAGCUGUACAAAGCCCUGGCUAGACCACAUAUAAAGAACUGUUUGCAGGUCUAGACACCAUUCCUUGUCUUAGAAGUGUGUAUAUUUCCCUUGAAAAAUGCAGCACAGAUUCAGCAUGUCAUUGUGCCAUGGACAAUAUUUAUGUCCCUUUUUAUUACCCAUAAUUAAUAUGCUUCUGUGUGACUGGUAUAUGUUUUCUUAUCUGGGGAAUGAUUGUUCCAAUUUAAAUGAAUCCAGUUGCACGUUUUUUGUAAUUCCUUAAAUAAAGAAGGUUAUUUAAUAUCAUACACUUGCCCUGGAUACCUAAACCACAAACGUCUCACUCGCUCAUCUCUUACACACUAUCACAUAUACAGAGACUAGACAAAUAUAAAUAUAGAACAGUACAAUUACAAUUUAAGAUUAUCUCAGUGCCUUUUACAGUAGGCUUAUAGUUUCUGAAAUAAAUUGCUGCUUUCAUUGAAGGUAGUCUUAUAAAGGAAAGGAUUCUUAGUAAACUGCAAGGGGUCUUGUGCUUGAAUUUCCAGAAGAUUGUUUCUCACGUGAACUUAGUUGGAACAGGUUGGAGAGAGUUGUCUUCCCACUUUCAAGAUUCCAGCAUCUGCAGUAAAUUGCUCCUAUACUUCUGUAAACAACAGGGAGGAGAGCAGAUGACAUUAUUGCUUGCCAAAGGCUAAAACAAACAACAGACAAAUUUGAAGAGAUUUUAUUACAAUUCAAAGAAUUCAUGAUACUAGCGAAAGCCAUGUGGAUAUAUAUAUAAAGCAGAGGCCUGGAAACAAUGUAAGGGUCAAAGGGGAGAAGAUCAAACUUGGAACAGGAGAAUCCAUUCAAUAUUGGAGAUGGAAGAGAAACCAAGCUAAUGCAGUCACUAGGACAGACACCAGGAACUAAAAAUCCUUGCUAAUAUUGUUCAGCAAUAAACUUCACAUGUGUGCCCAGUGCCCAAUUGUUAAAAUUGAACGUUUUUUGUUGUAAAACAAUAGGCCACUUUCAGAGGAAGUGCCAAAACAUCCAUAAAAAAUCAAAAGACCAAAGAACUAACAAAGACCCACAGAGAGAAGUAAAUGAGAUGUAACAGUCUCCAGUGAGAGAAAACCCCAAGUUUUCUGUGGGGAAAUCAGUGACCCAGAUUAAACAUUUUAGCAAGCUGACAUUUAUGUGA
Non-coding RNA from Chiloscyllium plagiosum (whitespotted bambooshark), 2689 nucleotides. The record is from RefSeq and is a predicted model, not a curated record. NCBI's taxonomy places the organism in Eukaryota, Metazoa, Chordata, Chondrichthyes, Orectolobiformes, Hemiscylliidae.